GAUGAACGCUGACAGCAUGCUUAACACAUGCAAGUCUUUGGCGAAGCUGUGCUUGCACAGCCUAGCCAAGGCGGACGGGUGAGUAACGCGUAAGGAACUUGCCCUGCAGUCAGGGAUAACAGACGGAAACGACUGAUAAGACCUGGUAAAGUCAGGCGGACUCAUGUCCAGCCUGAUGAAAAGAGAUGCUGCAGGAGAGCCUUGCGUCCUAUUAGCUUGUUGGUGGGGUAACGGCCCACCAAGGCGAUGAUAGGUAGCCGGCCUGAGAGGGUGGACGGCCACAAGGGGACUGAGAUACGGCCCUUACUCCUACGGGAGGCAGCAGUGGGGAAUAUUGGACAAUGGGGGCAACCCUGAUCCAGCAAUUCUGUGUGCACGAUGAAGGUUUUCGGAUUGUAAAGUGCUUUCAGCAGGGAAGAAAAAAAUGACGGUACCCGCAGAAGAAGCGACGGCUAAAUACGUG
RNAcentral lists this ribosomal RNA (463 nucleotides) under uncultured bacterium. Its description in RNAcentral is "partial 16S ribosomal RNA". It matches the Rfam family "Bacterial small subunit ribosomal RNA", at positions 28 to 507 of the family's 1533-position model. The record is from RNAcentral.